RNAcentral lists this ribosomal RNA (253 nucleotides) under uncultured bacterium. RNAcentral's name for it is "partial 16S ribosomal RNA". It matches the Rfam family "Bacterial small subunit ribosomal RNA", at positions 524 to 776 of the family's 1533-position model. The record is from RNAcentral.
UACAGAGGGUGCGAGCGUUAAUCGGAAUUACUGGGCGUAAAGCGCGCGUAGGCGGCUUUGCAAGUCGGGUGUGAAAUCCCCAGGCUUAACCUGGGAACUGCAUUCGAGACUGCAUUGCUAGAGUAUGGGAGAGGGAAGUGGAAUUUCCGGUGUAGCGGUGAAAUGCGUAGAUAUCGGAAGGAACAUCAGUGGCGAAAGCGACUUCCUGGACCAAUACUGACGCUCAUGUGCGAAGGCGUGGGGAGCAAACAGG